This 356-nucleotide unclassified non-coding RNA is filed under the name Hevea brasiliensis (rubber tree). Lineage: Eukaryota; Viridiplantae; Streptophyta; Magnoliopsida; Malpighiales; Euphorbiaceae. The record is from RNAcentral.
UUUGCCGUACACCCGUGAUUCCUGAAGAUAUGCAGGCGGCUUUCAAUGAGAGGCUAUGGGCUGCUUCUGGGAUUCCUGAGUUCUACGGCGAGUAUUCUUAGAUUUUAGAUUCAAUAAUUUCCAACCCAAGAAAAAGAAAAAAGAUAGACAAUUUUACCUUUUUUUUCUUGCUUUUUUUUUUUUUUUUUUUUUCUCUUUAAGGGAGUGGGUGAGCAAAAUGCUACACCUAAAAAUUAACUAUUCAACAAGGAAUGGAUGAAAUUUUUUUACGAUAAAUUAUAUUAUUUUCCAAAUAUUUCAUAUGUUAAACGAUCAAUUAAAUAGCUCAUCCUAGCCUAUCGUCUGCAAAAGAAUAC